AACUUCGGUUAUAAGAUCCCUCGAAGAUGACGAGGUUAAUAGGUUCGAGGUGGAAGCGUGGUGACACGUGGAGCUGACGAAUACUAAUCGAUCGAAGACUUAAUCAAUUU
This 110-nucleotide ribosomal RNA is filed under the name Staphylococcus epidermidis. RNAcentral describes it as "partial 23S ribosomal RNA". It matches the Rfam family "Bacterial large subunit ribosomal RNA", at positions 2815 to 2925 of the family's 2925-position model. The record is from RNAcentral. Lineage: Bacteria; Bacillati; Bacillota; Bacilli; Caryophanales; Staphylococcaceae.